RNAcentral lists this ribosomal RNA (1805 nucleotides) under human gut metagenome. RNAcentral describes it as "bacterial LSU rRNA". It matches the Rfam family "Bacterial large subunit ribosomal RNA", at positions 148 to 1977 of the family's 2925-position model. The record is from RNAcentral.
CUAUCAUUAACUGAAUCCAUAGGUUAAUGAGGCGAACCGGGGGAACUGAAACAUCUAAGUACCCCGAGGAAAAGAAAUCAACCGAGAUUCCCCCAGUAGCGGCGAGCGAACGGGGAGGAGCCCAGAGCCUGAAUCAGUGUGUGUGUUAGUGGAAGCGUCUGGAAAGGCGCGCGAUACAGGGUGACAGCCCCGUACACAAAAAUGCACAUGCUGUGAGCUCGAUGAGUAGGGCGGGACACGUGGUAUCCUGUCUGAAUAUGGGGGGACCAUCCUCCAAGGCUAAAUACUCCUGACUGACCGAUAGUGAACCAGUACCGUGAGGGAAAGGCGAAAAGAACCCCGGCGAGGGGAGUGAAAAAGAACCUGAAACCGUGUACGUACAAGCAGUGGGAGCCUCUUAAUGGGGUGACUGCGUACCUUUUGUAUAAUGGGUCAGCGACUUAUAUUCUGUAGCAAGGUUAACCGAAUAGGGGAGCCGAAGGGAAACCGAGUCUUAACUGGGCGUUAAGUUGCAGGGUAUAGACCCGAAACCCGGUGAUCUAGCCAUGGGCAGGUUGAAGGUUGGGUAACACUAACUGGAGGACCGAACCGACUAAUGUUGAAAAAUUAGCGGAUGACUUGUGGCUGGGGGUGAAAGGCCAAUCAAACCGGGAGAUAGCUGGUUCUCCCCGAAAGCUAUUUAGGUAGCGCCUCGUGAAUUCAUCUCCGGGGGUAGAGCACUGUUUCGGCAAGGGGGUCAUCCCGACUUACCAACCCGAUGCAAACUGCGAAUACCGGAGAAUGUUAUCACGGGAGACACACGGCGGGUGCUAACGUCCGUCGUGAAGAGGGAAACAACCCAGACCGCCAGCUAAGGUCCCAAAGUCAUGGUUAAGUGGGAAACGAUGUGGGAAGGCCCAGACAGCCAGGAUGUUGGCUUAGAAGCAGCCAUCAUUUAAAGAAAGCGUAAUAGCUCACUGGUCGAGUCGGCCUGCGCGGAAGAUGUAACGGGGCUAAACCAUGCACCGAAGCUGCGGCAGCGACACUAUGUGUUGUUGGGUAGGGGAGCGUUCUGUAAGCCUGUGAAGGUGGCCUGUGAGGGUUGCUGGAGGUAUCAGAAGUGCGAAUGCUGACAUAAGUAACGAUAAAGCGGGUGAAAAGCCCGCUCGCCGGAAGACCAAGGGUUCCUGUCCAACGUUAAUCGGGGCAGGGUGAGUCGACCCCUAAGGCGAGGCCGAAAGGCGUAGUCGAUGGGAAACAGGUUAAUAUUCCUGUACUUGGUGUUACUGCGAAGGGGGGACGGAGAAGGCUAUGUUGGCCGGGCGACGGUUGUCCCGGUUUAAGCGUGUAGGCUGGUUUUCCAGGCAAAUCCGGAAAACCAAGGCUGAGGCGUGAUGACGAGGCACUACGGUGCUGAAGUGACAAAUGCCCUGCUUCCAGGAAAAGCCUCUAAGCAUCAGGUAACAUCAAAUCGUACCCCAAACCGACACAGGUGGUCAGGUAGAGAAUACCAAGGCGCUUGAGAGAACUCGGGUGAAGGAACUAGGCAAAAUGGUGCCGUAACUUCGGGAGAAGGCACGCUGAUAUGUAGGUGAAGCGACUUGCUCGUGGAGCUGAAAUCAGUCGAAGAUACCAGCUGGCUGCAACUGUUUAUUAAAAACACAGCACUGUGCAAACACGAAAGUGGACGUAUACGGUGUGACGCCUGCCCGGUGCCGGAAGGUUAAUUGAUGGGGUUAGCGGUAACGCGAAGCUCUUGAUCGAAGCCCCGGUAAACGGCGGCCGUAACUAUAACGGUCCUAAGGUAGCGAAAUUCCUUGUCGGGU